GCUGCAUGGCUGUCGUCAGCUCGUGUCGUGAGAUGUUGGUUAAGUCCCGCAACGAGCGCAACCCCUGCUGCCACGUUGCCAACGGGUAGAGCCGGGCACUCUGGCGGGACUGCCAUCGACAAGAUGGAGGAAGGUGGGAUGACGUCAAGUCAUCAUGGCCCUUAUGUCCAGGGCGACACACGUGCUACAAUGGCCGGCACAGCGGGAAGCGAGGCAGUGAUGCCGAGCGGAUCCCUUAAAGCCGGUCUCAGUUCGGAUUGAAGUCUGCAACUCGACUUCAUGAAGCUGGAAUCGCUAGUAAUCGCAGAUCAGCCAAGCUGCGGUGAAUACGUUCCCGGGCCUU
This 343-nucleotide ribosomal RNA is filed under the name uncultured Synergistaceae bacterium. RNAcentral describes it as "bacterial SSU rRNA". It matches the Rfam family "Bacterial small subunit ribosomal RNA", at positions 1040 to 1382 of the family's 1533-position model. The record is from RNAcentral. Lineage: Bacteria; Thermotogati; Synergistota; Synergistia; Synergistales; Synergistaceae.